GCCUAACACAUGCAAGUCGAGCGGAUGAAGGGGAGCUUGCUCCUGGAUUCAGCGGCGGACGGGUGAGUAAAUGCCUAGGAAUCUGCCUGGUAGUGGGGGAUAACGUCCGGAAACGGGCGCUAAUACCGCAUACGUCCUGAGGGAGAAAGUGGGGGAUCUUCGGACCUCACGCUAUCAGAUGAGCCUAGGUCGGAUUAGCUAGUUGGUGGGGUAAAGGCCUACCAAGGCGACGAUCCGUAACUGGUCUGAGAGGAUGAUCAGUCACACUGGAACUGAGACACGGUCCAGACUCCUACGGGAGGCAGCAGUGGGGAAUAUUGGACAAUGGGCGAAAGCCUGAUCCAGCCAUGCCGCGUGUGUGAAGAAGGUCUUCGGAUUGUAAAGCACUUUAAGUUGGGAGGAAGGGCAGUAAGUUAAUACCUUGCUGUUUUGACGUUACCAACAGAAUAAGCACCGGCUAACUUCGUGCCAGCAGCCGCGGUAAUACGAAGGGUGCAAGCGUUAAUCGGAAUUACUGGGCGUAAAGCGCGCGUAGGUGGUUCAGCAAGUUGGAUGUGAAAUCCCCGGGCUCAACCUGGGAACUGCAUCCAAAACUACUGAGCUAGAGUACGGUAGAGGGUGGUGGAAUUUCCUGUGUAGCGGUGAAAUGCGUAGAUAUAGGAAGGAACACCAGUGGCGAAGGCGACCACCUGGACUGAUACUGACACUGAGGUGCGAAAGCGUGGGGAGCAAACAGGAUUAGAUACCCUGGUAGUCCACGCCGUAAACAAUGUAGACUAGCCGUUGGGAUCCUUGAGAUCU
This 801-nucleotide ribosomal RNA is filed under the name Pseudomonas aeruginosa. Its description in RNAcentral is "bacterial SSU rRNA". It matches the Rfam family "Bacterial small subunit ribosomal RNA", at positions 46 to 840 of the family's 1533-position model. Lineage: Bacteria; Pseudomonadati; Pseudomonadota; Gammaproteobacteria; Pseudomonadales; Pseudomonadaceae. The record is from RNAcentral.